RNAcentral lists this ribosomal RNA (251 nucleotides) under uncultured prokaryote. RNAcentral's name for it is "partial 16S rRNA". It matches the Rfam family "Bacterial small subunit ribosomal RNA", at positions 525 to 775 of the family's 1533-position model. The record is from RNAcentral.
ACGGAGGAUGCGAGCGUUAUCCGGAUUCAUUGGGUUUAAAGGGUGCGCAGGCGGCGCAGCGAGUCAGUGGUGAAAUUCUGCCGCUCAACGGUAGGGCUGCCAUUGAUACUGUUGCGCUUGAGUGCGGUUGAGGCAGGUGGAAUGUGCAGUGGAGCGGUGAAAGGAAUGUUAUUGGCACAGACCCCCGAGGGCGAGGGGAUCUUCCAAAGCCGUUACUGACGCUGAGGCACGAAAGCGUGGGGAUCGAACAG